AAUCCCGUGAACCAUCGAGUCUUUGAACGCAAGUUGCGCCCGAAGCCGUCAGGCCGAGGGCACGUCUGCCUGGGCGUCACG
This 81-nucleotide ribosomal RNA is filed under the name Convolvulus lindbergii. RNAcentral describes it as "partial 5.8S ribosomal RNA". It matches the Rfam family "5.8S ribosomal RNA", at positions 78 to 154 of the family's 154-position model. From Rfam's summary of the family: 5.8S ribosomal RNA (5.8S rRNA) is a component of the large subunit of the eukaryotic ribosome. It is transcribed by RNA polymerase I as part of the 45S precursor that also contains 18S and 28S rRNA. Functionally, it is thought that 5.8S rRNA may be involved in ribosome translocation. The record is from RNAcentral. Lineage: Eukaryota; Viridiplantae; Streptophyta; Magnoliopsida; Solanales; Convolvulaceae.